Molecule: ribosomal RNA, 597 nt
Filed under: Triticum aestivum (bread wheat)
Lineage: Eukaryota; Viridiplantae; Streptophyta; Magnoliopsida; Poales; Poaceae
Description: partial small subunit ribosomal RNA
Source: RNAcentral
AUGAGCGCACUCAAGGAGUCGAUUCGCAAGUAUGCCGAGGAACCUACAAAAAGUGUUGUACGCCCAACACCUGGUUUGACAUUCGAUUCGCUCGGUGAAGCAUAUGACUUCUACAAUUUGUAUUCCUGGAAAAUUGGUUUCGAGAUUAGAUAUGGUAAGAGUAGACUAAAUGCCGAGAGGACGAAGUGCAUGCAGGAGAUAGUAUGCGGUUGCUCGGGGGAGCUAGAGGCAGAGAAUAGUACAACAUACAGGACUAACCUAUACGAUAUGCCAUUUGGACUAUUCGUUGGGGUUAACAAUCAUUUUCAAAGCAUUAUCUUUGCUGGGCUAGUGAUGCAUGAUGAACAAGAAGAGAAUUUCAAAUGGGUUUUUGCUGAGUUCUUGCGUAUGAUGGGAGGACCUGCCCCAAAGACUGUCUUAACAGAUCAGAACAGAUCUAUGGAACUGGCAAUCAAGAAAGUUUAUCCAGGGAGUGUGCAUAGAUGGUGCAAAUGGCAUGUACUAAAAGUCAGUGGGAGGAGAAGUACCCACCAUUGGUUGGCCUGUACCAUGUGGAGCCGUCAGAUCAAGACACUGAGAAGUUCAAUACAAACAUGA